This is a small nucleolar RNA of Fundulus heteroclitus (mummichog), 150 nucleotides long. The record is from Ensembl. NCBI's taxonomy places the organism in Eukaryota, Metazoa, Chordata, Actinopteri, Cyprinodontiformes, Fundulidae.
CUUCAUUGAUGAGACGAUGACGAGUCGGAACAGGUCUCUGUCUGGUUCUGGCUGUGACUGGUCCAGUCUCACGUUCUGUGGUUCUGAUCCGGUCGUUCAGACCAGCGAGAUCGUUUAAGUUGAAGACAUCGAGGCAUUUGUCUGAAAAGG